UAAUAGUACGAUUAACAUGUUCAUGGUAUUUGAUACACACAAUAUAACUUGCAAGCAUGUAAAAUUACACAGAUUUGAAUAAAAACAGGGGAUUUUAUUUUAUUUUAAUUUUAUCAUGUUUUUGGGAUAACAUGAAGGAAAAAGACCCAAAGCUAUAUAUUUAUUUUUCAUCAGUCAAAAGCAUCCCCCAUACUUAGGCUGAAAGUUGAUCCAUCAGCACUCAAACGGAACUGCUGAAGCCUUUAUUGUAAGCAUAUUCAAUAAGGGAAUCCAACUCAUCAUUGGUGCAGUCGAUCAAAUUGUCCUUAUUUUUAUCAGCAACGUCCAUGGCCUCUUCGACUUGCUUGUUUGGCGUGAGUGCACCUAGAUGUUGAAAAGCAUCCUUGAGCUGGUCCCUGGUGAGGCUGCCCUGCUUAGAGUAAGAUCGAAACACUUGUUCCAAUUUGUUUUUCUGAUCCUUGUUAUCCUUUGUGGCUUGCAUUGUGGAUUUUGAGGUUAUGACAGGGUGAUAUUAGAGAGAAGGCUUGCCUAGCUUGGUUUGGUUUUCUUUUUCCAACGCAAUUCGUUUAUAUAGACCCAAAACUUUGAACACGAUUCUGUUGAAGUGUAGGGGUAUAAAACAUUAUUUGGUGGUGGGUUUUAAAAAUUGAUUUCCGUCCUCUUUAUCAAUAAAAGUAUUAAAUCAAUCAAUAAAUUUUUGUAAUGAACACUUCAAAAAAAAUUCCAUGAGGAUUGGUACGAAUAAAAAUAUUAAUGUUAAUUUCUUCUUUUCUUCUGGCUUCAAAUUAACCACAGAUUGAAAAAUGCUAAAUAGCAGCCUCCACUAUCUUGUGUUUCGUUUAUUUUAGCCCUCAAUUUGCAGUUUAGUUUUAGUUUUUUUUUUUUUUUUUUUUUUUUUGUGGUUGCCUGAUUAAAUGAUACAUUUCGGUUUUAAUGAAUUUCCAGAAUUUGGUAGAUCUCGUGAAAGGAGUUCUAGAAAGCACUUUGAUGAGCAUGCUUGAAAUUUGUGAUAAUUUUUACUAAGAAUUUUUACAAGAAUAGAUCAUCAUUGCUAAUAUUGUGUGACAAUUUAACUUUUUUUUUGUUUUCAUUUUCGUUUUAUUUUUUUUUUAGUUUUUUUUCUCCCCUUUUUUUUUAUUAGAUCAAUUGUUUCAGCAAAAAAAAAAAAAAAAAACCCAAUGGAUAUGCCUAGAGUGUAACGAGCGACGUUGACCGAAUCGUGAGAAGCUUGACUUGAGGCUCGGAGCUCGACCACACCUCCGGGGCUCGAUACUAUGGCUCGAUUGUAUUGCGUGAUCGAAUCGAGCUAUUCGAGCUCGCUCGAUUAAGUUUCGAUUAAUAUGUUCAAAAAAAAGCUCGAUUCGUAUCUCGAUAAGAGUCUUGAUUUAAUUCAUGCUCGAAUUCAAAAAUCGAAUAUUUUAUUAAUUAAUAAUAAUAAAAAAUUUCUAAAUUAUAAGCUCGACUAAGCUCGCGAGCUACUCGAGUUAGAUAUAAGAAUACUCGAAUUCAGCUCGAUCGAUAAGUCGAGCUACUCGAGCUCGAGCUCGACUCGAUAAUAAUCGAACCGAAUUGAACCCGAAUAGCUUAUGAGUACUAAUGUAUCAUUUACACCCUUAGGUAUGCCCAUGUGCCAUCUUAUUUCAUUUUUUGCCUUUCAUUUUUUUUGUAAUUAGAUAAAUAUCACAAUAAAAAAAUCAGUAUAUAAAUUUUUUAAGAUAAAAAUCAAUUGACGUGUAGACAACAAAAUAUCUUGUAUCCUAUAUGUUUCGUUUCCUGUGAAUCCAAUCGGUGUGCUUUUUUUUUUUUUUAAAUUUAGGAUCAGAAGCCUUAAAAAAUAUGAAUUAUUACCCAAUUAUAAUAGCAUCAUCUACUAAAAUAAUUUUGUAAGAAACCUUUAUGAAGUAAGAAACGGAAAACUUAUAAUUGAAAAAUGAAUUAAUUAAUAGUAGGAUAAAAAAAAUUUAAAAGAUUACAAUUAGUAAUUUCAUAAUCAAAUAAAUGAUUUUUUUUAAAUUAUAUGUAUAAGUAUGUUUUCUAAACCAAAGCAAUGCACAAAUGACACCACAAAUUAAUCCUUUUAUAUAUGCCUUGCAAAUAUUUUAAUAAAAUUACAAAAAAAAUUUAACUAUUUCCAAAAAUAAAAUCUUGAUAUUUAUAAUUUUGCUAAACAAGUUAUUUAAACUUUUGAUAAUUAAAGUUAUCUUUAUAAAUGAAAUCCAACUUGAAAUCUUGCAACUAAUUAACCCAUUUUGAUAUUUCAAUUCUCAUCAAGAUAUAACUUUGUUUUGCUGCUGAGACCAACAACAAUAUGUACUUUAAUUUUUUUUGUCAAAUAGCCUCAAUUUUAUAAAAAUUAAUUUUGUCUAUACUUAUAUAUAUGCACGUGCAAAAACAUAUGCAUAAGUGUGUGUAAAAAUAAAAAGAAUUAAGCAUUUAAAUUAGAUUGAUAUAUAUAUAUAUAUAUAUAUAUAUAUAUACACUAUCUGCUUUCCUUCCGAAAAGGUUGACUUUCGAAUUUCUUCAAACCUUUUAUCAUGUUUUUAAGUAAUAACAAUAUUAGUGUAUAGUUUAUAAUAGUAUGAUCAACGUGUUCAUGAUAUUUGAUACACACAAUAUAACUUGCAAGUAUGUAAAACAACACAGAUUUAAAUAAAAAUAGGGGGUUUUAUUUUAUUUUAAUUUUACAUCCUUUCGAGACAACAUGAAAGAAAAAGACCCAAAGAUAUAUAUUUAUUUUUCGUCAGUCAUAAGCAUCCCCCAUACUUAGGCUGAAAGUUGAUCCAUCAGCACUCAAACGGAACCGCUGAAGCCUUUAUUGUAAGCAUAUUCAAUAAGGGAAUCCAACUCAUCAUUGGUGCAGUCGAUCAAAUUGUCCUAAUUUUUAUCAGCAACCUCCAUGGCCUCUUCAACUUGCUUGUUUAGCGUGAGUGCACCUAGUUGUUGAAAAGCCUCCUUGAGCUGAUCCCUGGUGAGGCUGCCCUGCUUAGAGUAAUAACGAAACACUUGUUCCAAUUUGUUUUUAUGAUCCUUGUUAUCCUUUGUGGCUUGCAUUGUGGAUUUCGAGGUUUAUGACUGGGUGAUAUUAGAGAGAAGGCUUGUCU
Molecule: long non-coding RNA, 3101 nt
Filed under: Durio zibethinus
Lineage: Eukaryota; Viridiplantae; Streptophyta; Magnoliopsida; Malvales; Malvaceae
Description: long non-coding RNA (DZIB_LNC000590)
Source: RNAcentral